CUUUAGAAGCCAUGUUGUUACUAUCUCCCUUAUGAUGAGGCAUUAUUGCUACCUGGUGACUAGGAAAUCUACACUAUCCUGAAGGAGGCAUUCUAUGAAUGACAGCUCCUCCUUAGUUCCACUUUAUUUGGAAGUUGCAAGUGCUCAGCACCUCUGAAAACCAGGCUUCUUAUUUAGACUGCCCUGGAAGGGGAGAGACUUUCAAGUGACCUGGCUGGAAGCUGAGUCGGAGGAAGAGGCAAGUCACUGCAGAGGUGGAGCAGCUGUCAGCAGGAGAUACCCAGCAGGGAGAAAGCUGCUACACCACACCUAGCCACAAGAAGGUGGCAGCAUCACUCUUACAAUGUAAACUGAAAAAGAAAAAUUUUGCCGAGUUC
This is a long non-coding RNA of Mauremys reevesii (Reeves's turtle), 377 nucleotides long. RefSeq lists it as uncharacterized. Lineage: Eukaryota; Metazoa; Chordata; Testudines; Geoemydidae. The record is from RefSeq and is a predicted model, not a curated record. The transcript has 3 exons.